This 253-nucleotide ribosomal RNA is filed under the name uncultured bacterium. RNAcentral describes it as "partial 16S ribosomal RNA". It matches the Rfam family "Bacterial small subunit ribosomal RNA", at positions 524 to 776 of the family's 1533-position model. The record is from RNAcentral.
UACGUAGGGGGCAAGCGUUAUCCGGAUUUACUGGGUGUAAAGGGAGCGUAGACGGCCUUGCAAGUCUGGUGUGAAAGCCCGGGGCUCAACCCCGGGACUGCAUUGGAAACAGCAUGGCUGGAGUGCAGGAGAGGUAAGCGGAAUUCCUAGUGUAGCGGUGAAAUGCGUAGAUAUUAGGAGGAACACCAGUGGCGAAGGCGGCUUACUGGACUGUAACUGACGUUGAGGCUCGAAAGCGUGGGGAGCAAACAGG